Molecule: small RNA, 207 nt
Filed under: Streptantibioticus cattleyicolor NRRL 8057 = DSM 46488
Lineage: Bacteria; Bacillati; Actinomycetota; Actinomycetes; Kitasatosporales; Streptomycetaceae
Description: Streptomyces cattleya NRRL 8057 Actinobacteria sRNA Ms_IGR-5
Rfam family: Actinobacteria sRNA Ms_IGR-5
Source: Rfam by way of RNAcentral
ACACAAGAAGGGAGGUGGUCCGACGAAUGAAUGCAUAUCGGACGUGUGAGGUGGCUGCGGGCUAACGCCGCGCGCCUCGUCCGCUGAUGCGUACGUGUGUGCAUGGCGGGCCGCAAUCCAACGCAGUCACCCGACCCGUGGGCUACCGGACUCGUCCGGCCGGUCUCGGAACGACAGUUCCGAGCAGCAGCCCGCGGGUCGUCUGCC